This 465-nucleotide ribosomal RNA is filed under the name Vreelandella stevensii. RNAcentral describes it as "partial 16S ribosomal RNA". It matches the Rfam family "Bacterial small subunit ribosomal RNA", at positions 338 to 795 of the family's 1533-position model. The record is from RNAcentral. Lineage: Bacteria; Pseudomonadati; Pseudomonadota; Gammaproteobacteria; Oceanospirillales; Halomonadaceae.
CCUACGGGAGGCAGCAGUGGGGAAUAUUGGACAAUGGGCGAAAGCCUGAUCCAGCCAUGCCGCGUGUGUGAAGAAGGCCUUCGGGUUGUAAAGCACUUUCAGUGGGGAAGAAAGCCUUGGGGCUAAUACCCUCGAGGAAGGACAUCACCCACAGAAGAAGCACCGGCUAACUCCGUGCCAGCAGCCGCGGUAAUACGGAGGGUGCGAGCGUUAAUCGGAAUUACUGGGCGUAAAGCGCGCGUAGGCUGUCUGAUAAGCCGGUUGUGAAAGCCCCGGGCUCAACCUGGGAACGGCAUCCGGAACUGUCAGGCUAGAGUGCAGGAGAGGAAGGUAGAAUUCCCGGUGUAGCGGUGAAAUGCGUAGAGAUCGGGAGGAAUACCAGUGGCGAAGGCGGCCUUCUGGACUGACACUGACGCUGAGGUGCGAAAGCGUGGGUAGCAAACAGGAUUAGAUACCCUGGUAGUC